RNAcentral lists this long non-coding RNA (2171 nucleotides) under Homo sapiens (human). RNAcentral describes it as "HSALNT0353146". The record is from RNAcentral. Lineage: Eukaryota; Metazoa; Chordata; Mammalia; Primates; Hominidae.
GAGUUGGGGGAGAGGACCAGAACCACCUGCUGGAGAAGGGGAGCUACGGGGGCCGGGCAGGGUCCAAACGCCUCACGUAGGCGGCGGCGCCACGGUCUUCGGGGUCACAGGGAAGAGAAGGGCUCUCCUCAAGCGGGUGGAAGGAGGGAGGCCUCCCGAGGGAGUGAGACUCUAGGCCACUCCCCCGCAGCAAGGCAGGAUCACCUGCGACGCGGAGAGCGGUUAGAGGGCCCUGGAGUGGAAAAGGGCAGUGGGACCUGGUAGCUUGGGUUCCCUGCAACUUGGGGUUCGACCUCCAGGCAAUGAAGUAGGGAUGGUCCUGCAAGUCAAGAUUCCAGUAGCAAGAGUGCAUCAGAUCUCUGUAAGGAAAAUAACUAACAUUGCUCAGUUCCCUGUAGAGUUGCAGGGCGCUUUAACGUUAUCUCCCUUGGUUCUCCAUCAGGUCGUAGUGGACUAAUUUUACAGGCGAAGUUAAGUGACUUACCCAAAACCUCACAGCUAAUAAACGGCAGAGCCGGCACCCAGCUGUACUGGCUUCCAAUUCUGUUAGCUUACCAGCGCAUCACAUUAUCUCCAUAAAUCCCCAUGAUUCAACUAAUAUUAGACGCCCCACAGAGUCUCGCUACUCAAAACGUGGUCAGUGGCCCAGCAGCACUGACAUGAGGAUGUUAGUUAGAAACUCAGAAUCUCAGGCUCCACCCCAGACCUGCUGAACCAGCAUCUUCAACUUAACAAGAACCCGAAGAGAUUUGUGUCACAUCAAAAAGUUUGAGAAGCUCUGAUCUAGGGCUGGAAGGAGUGUUGCUCAACAAUAUCCAAAACCACAGAGGUUGAAAAGCACAAGGAAAGAAGGUAUGUUUGCACUUUGUGAUUAGGUAGUAGGGUCUUUGAGACCACAUUGUUCUUAUUGAAAGCCUGGGAAGAAAGAUCCCCUUUCUGGUCAAGUUUAGUCUAGGGAUCCAUCCCAUCUUCCCCAGUUCCCACGUGUAUGGGACAUGUCGAGAUAAGUAGAUAGAUUGGACAGUGGGAGAAAGUAGUUCUCUUCCAGUUGCUUCUAUUUUCUCAGCAAAGUGAGGAGCAAGAUCAUUUUGGCAGACUGCUAAUUGUCCAUCACAAUUUAGUCUCCCUUUCUCCCUGAAAACACAGACUGCUUUUCUCAGCCUCUCUUUCAGUUGCAUAUGGUCAAGUAUUAAGUUAUAGAACGUGAGCAGAUGUUAUGUCUGCCACUGUCAGGCCAAGGCGUUUACUUUGAGAGUACUUGUGCCUCUUUCAUGCAUUUUCCUUUCUGCCAGCUGGACCCUGGACACGGUGACUCUGAUUCAAUUAUGCAGAUGACCACAAACCUCUGGGGUUGGCAGAGCCACAAGAAAGAAGGUGCCUGGAUGAAGGAGAGCUACCCACUGACCUGGACACCCAAUUAUAGGAUAGACAGUGAAGUGCAACUACAGCCCGCAAAUGAAAAUGAAUAAUAUUAAUCCAGCCCCUCAAGGCAGUCAUCUGUCUUAGAGCUAUUGGAAUCCUGGAUCAUUGUGGGAAAUGAAAGGAACUGGUUUUUAGCAAGGAGACCAAGAAACUCUACUCCCUAGGGGCUAGCAAUGAGAGAAAGGAAGCCUUAAGUCUUUGAGCACAGGGUGACAGUUUGGGUCCUAUGUGAGAUGAUCAAAUCCACAGCAACAGAGGAAAGGACAAAAGGAAAAGAUACUUCGAUGGAAUCAGCAGCCAUUGAUCCAAUGCCAACUCCAAGACUGGAACGUCGCAAUGAUAGUUCCAAGGCGGAAAUUUGACGUAAUUCUUUUCGACACAGUUUUACAGACGAGAAACCCCAGCUGAGGAGGCAAAUAUACUCAAGGAAAGUAAUAGUUUCCAAAUGCCUGGCAGUGCCAGGAAGGGGCCAUGUCCAUGGACCACUAUGUAAGGAUAUCUCAGUCUCUAGUCCAGCGUGGUUUAUGGUGCCAAAUAAGUGCCAGGUGAACUCACUACAUCUGACAAAAUCUCAAGGAACCAAGUUUACCAGAUAAUAUUUAUGAUUAUGUGAAAAAGACUGAGGAAAUCACUCAAGUGAUCCAUCAUACAGCACCUCCAGUUCCAAAGAAUACUGACUUACUUCAGCUGUACUGGUCUGGAGCUGCACAUUCUUUUCAGACAACUCUUGUUCCAGUAAGUUCAGGCGA